UGGGGAAUAUUGGACAAUGGGCGAAAGCCUGAUCCAGCCAUGCCGCGUGUGUGAAGAAGGUCUUCGGAUUGUAAAGCACUUUAAGUUGGGAGGAAGGGCAUUAACCUAAUACGUUAGUGUUUUGACGUUACCGACAGAAUAAGCACCGGCUAACUCUGUGCCAGCAGCCGCGGUAAUACAGAGGGUGCAAGCGUUAAUCGGAAUUACUGGGCGUAAAGCGCGCGUAGGUGGUUUGUUAAGUUGGAUGUGAAAUCCCCGGGCUCAACCUGGGAACUGCAUUCAAAACUGACUGACUAGAGUAUGGUAGAGGGUGGUAGAAUUUCCUGUGUAGCGGUGAAAUGCGUAGAUAUAGGAAGGAACACCAGUGGCGAAGGCGACCACCUGGACUAAUACUGACACUGAGGUGCGAAAGCGUGGGGAGCAAACA
This 427-nucleotide ribosomal RNA is filed under the name uncultured bacterium. Its description in RNAcentral is "partial 16S ribosomal RNA". It matches the Rfam family "Bacterial small subunit ribosomal RNA", at positions 355 to 774 of the family's 1533-position model. The record is from RNAcentral.